GUAGCUUGCUACCUGACCUAGCGGCGGACGGGUGAGUAAUGCUUAGGAAUCUGCCUAUUAGUGGGGGACAACAUUCCGAAAGGAAUGCUAAUACCGCAUACGCCCUACGGGGGAAAGCAGGGGAUCUUCGGACCUUGCGCUAAUAGAUGAGCCUAAGUCAGAUUAGCUAGUUGGUGGGGUAAAGGCCUACCAAGGCGACGAUCUGUAGCGGGUCUGAGAGGAUGAUCCGCCACACUGGGACUGAGACACGGCCCAGACUCCUACGGGAGGCAGCAGUGGGGAAUAUUGGACAAUGGGCGAAAGCCUGAUCCAGCCAUGCCGCGUGUGUGAAGAAGGCCUUUUGGUUGUAAAGCACUUUAAGCGAGGAGGAGGCUACUUAGAUUAAUACUCUAGGAUAGUGGACGUUACUCGCAGAAUAAGCACCGGCUAACUCUGUGCCAGCAGCCGCGGUAAUACAGAGGGUGCGAGCGUUAAUCGGAUUUACUGGGCGUAAAGCGUGCGUAGGCGGCUUUUUAAGUCGGAUGUGAAAUCCCUGAGCUUAACUUAGGAAUUGCAUUCGAUACUGGGAAGCUAGAGUAUGGGAGAGGAUGGUAGAAUUCCAGGUGUAGCGGUGAAAUGCGUAGAGAUCUGGAGGAAUACCGAUGGCGAAGGCAGCCAUCUGGCCUAAUACUGACGCUGA
RNAcentral lists this ribosomal RNA (679 nucleotides) under Acinetobacter sp. B2188. RNAcentral's name for it is "bacterial SSU rRNA". It matches the Rfam family "Bacterial small subunit ribosomal RNA", at positions 75 to 749 of the family's 1533-position model. The record is from RNAcentral. Lineage: Bacteria; Pseudomonadati; Pseudomonadota; Gammaproteobacteria; Moraxellales; Moraxellaceae.